GAUUAAGUUAUUAAGGGCGCACGGUGGAUGCCUUGGCACUAGAAGCCGAAGAAGGACGUUACUAACGACGAUAUGCUUUGGGGAGCUGUAAGUAAGCGUUGAUCCAGAGAUUUCCGAAUGGGGAAACCCAACAUGAGUUAUGUCAUGUUAUCGAUAUGUGAAUACAUAGCAUAUCAGAAGGCAGACCCGGAGAACUGAAACAUCUUAGUACCCGGAGGAAGAGAAAGAAAAAUCGAUUCCCUGAGUAGCGGCGAGCGAAACGGGAAGAGCCCAAACCAACAAGCUUGCUUGUUGGGGUUGUAGGACACUCUAUACGGAGUUACAAAAGUAUAUAUUAGACGAAUCAUCUGGAAAGUUGAAUCAAAGAAGGUAAUAAUCCUGUAGUCGAAAAUAUAUACUCUCUUGAGUGGAUCCUGAGUACGACGGAGCACGUGAAAUUCCGUCGGAAUCUGGGAGGACCAUCUCCUAAGGCUAAAUACUCUCUAGUGACCGAUAGUGAACCAGUACCGUGAGGGAAAGGUGAAAAGUACCCCGGAAGGGGAGUGAAAGAGAACUUGAAACCGUGUGCUUACAAGUAGUCAGAGCCCGUUAAUGGGUGAUGGCGUGCCUUUUGUAGAAUGAACCGGCGAGUUACGAUUUGAUGCAAGGUUAAGCAGUGAAUGUGGAGCCGUAGCGAAAGCGAGUCUGAAUAGGGCGUUGAGUAUUUGGUCGUAGACCCGAAACCAGGUGAUCUACCCUUGGUCAGGUUGAAGUUCAGGUAACACUGAAUGGAGGACCGAACCGACUUACGUUGAAAAGUGAGCGGAUGAACUGAGGGUAGCGGAGAAAUUCCAAUCGAACCUGGAGAUAGCUGGUUCUCUCCGAAAUAGCUUUAGGGCUAGCCUCAAGUGAUGAUUAUUGGAGGUAGAGCACUGUUUGGACGAGGGGCCCUUCUCGGGUUACCGAAUUCAGACAAACUCCGAAUGCCAAUCAAUUUAACUUGGGAGUCAGAACAUGGGUGAUAAGGUCCGUGUUCGAAAGGGAAACAGCCCAGACCACCAGCUAAGGUCCCAAAAUAUAUGUUAAGUGGAAAAGGAUGUGGCGUUGCCCAGACAACUAGGAUGUUGGCUUAGAAGCAGCCAUCAUUUAAAGAGUGCGUAAUAGCUCACUAGUCGAGUGACACUGCGCCGAAAAUGUACCGGGGCUAAACAUAUUACCGAAGCUGUGGAUUGUCCGUAGGACAAUGGUAGGAGAGCGUUCUAAGGGCGUUGAAGCAUGAUCGCAAGGACAUGUGGAGCGCUUAGAAGUGAGAAUGCCGGUGUGAGUAGCGAAAGACGGGUGAGAAUCCCGUCCACCGAUUGACUAAGGUUUCCAGAGGAAGGCUCGUCCGCUCUGGGUUAGUCGGGUCCUAAGCUGAGGCCGACAGGCGUAGGCGAUGGAUAACAGGUUGAUAUUCCUGUACCACCUAGUAUCGUUUUAAUCGAUGGGGGGACGCAGUAGGAUAGGCGAAGCGUGCUAUUGGAUUGCACGUCCAAGCAGUAAGACUGAGUGUUAGGCAAAUCCGGCACUCAUAAGGU
Molecule: ribosomal RNA, 1556 nt
Filed under: Staphylococcus pasteuri
Lineage: Bacteria; Bacillati; Bacillota; Bacilli; Caryophanales; Staphylococcaceae
Description: partial 23S ribosomal RNA
Rfam family: Bacterial large subunit ribosomal RNA
Source: RNAcentral